CCUACGGGAGGCAGCAGUGGGGAAUAUUGGACAAUGGGCGAAAGCCUGAUCCAGCCAUGCCGCGUGUGUGAAGAAGGCCUUCGGGUUGUAAAGCACUUUCAGUGGGGAAGAAAGCCUUGGGGCUAAUACCCUCGAGGAAGGACAUCACCCACAGAAGAAGCACCGGCUAACUCCGUGCCAGCAGCCGCGGUAAUACGGAGGGUGCGAGCGUUAAUCGGAAUUACUGGGCGUAAAGCGCGCGUAGGCGGUCUGAUAAGCCGGUUGUGAAAGCCCCGGGCUCAACCUGGGAACGGCAUCCGGAACUGUCAGGCUAGAGUGCAGGAGAGGAAGGUAGAAUUCCCGGUGUAGCGGUGAAAUGCGUAGGGAUCGGGAGGAAUACCAGUGGCGAAGGCGGCCUUCUGGACUGACACUGACGCUGAGGUGCGAAAGCGUGGGUAGCAAACAGGAUUAGAUACCCUAGUAGUC
This 465-nucleotide ribosomal RNA is filed under the name Vreelandella stevensii. RNAcentral describes it as "partial 16S ribosomal RNA". It matches the Rfam family "Bacterial small subunit ribosomal RNA", at positions 338 to 795 of the family's 1533-position model. The record is from RNAcentral. Lineage: Bacteria; Pseudomonadati; Pseudomonadota; Gammaproteobacteria; Oceanospirillales; Halomonadaceae.